CCUACGGGAGGCAGCAGUGAGGAAUAUUGGUCAAUGGACGAGAGUCUGACCCAGCCAAGUAGCGUGAAGGAUGAUUGCCCUAUGGGUUGUAAACUUCUUUUAUAAAGGAAUAAAACGAGGCACGUGUGCCUUUUUGCAUGUACUUUAUGAAUAAGGAUCGGCUAACUCCGUGCCAGCAGCCGCGGUAAUACGGAGGAUCCGAGCGUUAUCCGGAUUUAUUGGGUUUAAAGGGAGCGUAGAUGGGUUGUUAAGUCAGUUGUGAAAGUGUGCGGCUCAACCGUAAAAUUGCAAUUGAUACUGGCAGUCUUGAGUACAGUUGAGGUAAGCGGAAUUCGUGGUGUAGCGGUGAAAUGCUUAGAUAUCACGAAGAACCCCGAUUGCGAAGGCAGCUUACUAAACUGUGACUGACAUUGAUGCUCGAAAGUGUGGGUAUCAAACAGGAUUAGAUACCCGAGUAGUC
This 460-nucleotide ribosomal RNA is filed under the name uncultured bacterium. RNAcentral's name for it is "partial 16S ribosomal RNA". It matches the Rfam family "Bacterial small subunit ribosomal RNA", at positions 338 to 795 of the family's 1533-position model. The record is from RNAcentral.